This 253-nucleotide ribosomal RNA is filed under the name uncultured bacterium. Its description in RNAcentral is "partial 16S ribosomal RNA". It matches the Rfam family "Bacterial small subunit ribosomal RNA", at positions 524 to 776 of the family's 1533-position model. The record is from RNAcentral.
UACAGAGGUCCCAAGCGUUGUUCGGAUUCACUGGGCGUAAAGGGUGCGUAGGCGGCCGGGUCAGUCUGCUGUGAAAUCCCGCAGCUCAACUGCGGAACUGCAUUGGAUACUAUCCGGCUAGAGGAAUGGAGGGGAGACUGGAAUUCUCGGUGUAGCAGUGAAAUGCGUAGAUAUCGAGAGGAACACCAGUGGCGAAGGCGAGUCUCUGGACAUUUCCUGACGCUGAGGCACGAAAGCCAGGGGAGCAAACGGG